AAUAUUGGACAAUGGGCGAAAGCCUGAUCCAGCCAUGCCGCGUGUAUGAAGAAGGACAUCGGAUUGUAAAGUACUUUUGGUAGGGAAGAAGGGCUAUAUCCUAAUACCUUACUAUUUUGACGUUACCGACAGAAUAAGCACCGGCUAACUCCGUGCCAGCAGCCGCGGUAAUACGUAGGGUGCAAGCGUUAAUCGGAAUUACUGGGCGUAAAGCGCGCGUAGGUGGUUUGUUAAGUUAGAAGUGAAAGCCCAGGGCUCAACCUGGGAACUGCAUUCAAAACUGGCAAGCUAGAGUAUGGCAGAGGGUGGUAGAAUUUCAUGUGUAGCAGUGAAAUGCGUAGAUAUAGGGAGGAACACCGGUGGCGAAGGCGGCCACCUGGGAUAAUACUGACACUGAGAUGCGAAAGCGUGGGGAGCAAAC
This 421-nucleotide ribosomal RNA is filed under the name uncultured bacterium. Its description in RNAcentral is "partial 16S ribosomal RNA". It matches the Rfam family "Bacterial small subunit ribosomal RNA", at positions 360 to 773 of the family's 1533-position model. The record is from RNAcentral.